GUCCACAAGAGACCAAAAUGACACAGACAUUAACAACUAUAGGUCACCGUACAGCCUUCAACAAUGAGCACAGCCCAUACCGCAUAGUCAGCUAUAAAAAGCCCUGAUAAAACAAUGUAAAAUAAUUCAAACGAGAAAACAAACGGUAAACUAUUUCAAACAUCAUCUCCCCUGAAACUACUGAAGCAAUUACUACCAAACGUUAGCUGAAUAAUUCUUAGGGUAUAUAAACUUUGUGUUUUAUUUUAUGUUUCGUUUAAAAACAUGGCCGCCAAGGCUAAUAAUAUAACAAUGGGGUAAAAUGCAGUUUUUGGCUUAUAUCUCAAAUACUAAAGCAUUUAGAGCAAAUCUGAUGUGAGGUAAAAUUGUUCAUAAGGUAAAGUUUUAUCAACCCUAAAAUUUUCAGAUGAAUCUGAUAACCCAUUGUUGGGUUGCUGCCACAAAAUUGAUAAUUUUAAGGAAAUUUUAGAAGUUUUUAGUUAUUAUCUUGAAUAUUAGCAAAAAUGUUCAGCAAAGUAAGAUCUACAUAAAAGUUUAUGGGACCAAAAUUGUCAAUGGACCCCUUAAGGAUUUACUGCCCUCUAAAGACAAUUUACUGAAUUUGUUCAUCUAGUUUGCUUGCUUUAAAACUGCUGAAUCACUUUCAGCAAAACUUAGGCUGAAUGAGUUGCAGAAUAUCUAGUAUAAUUUU
This 691-nucleotide long non-coding RNA is filed under the name Mytilus galloprovincialis (Mediterranean mussel). Lineage: Eukaryota; Metazoa; Mollusca; Bivalvia; Mytilida; Mytilidae. The record is from RNAcentral.